Molecule: transfer RNA, 82 nt
Filed under: Actinomycetota bacterium
Lineage: Bacteria; Bacillati; Actinomycetota
Description: tRNA-Tyr
Rfam family: tRNA
About the family: Transfer RNA (tRNA) molecules are approximately 80 nucleotides in length. Their secondary structure includes four short double-helical elements and three loops (D, anti-codon, and T loops).
Source: RNAcentral
GGCGGGAUACCGAAGCGGUCAAACGGGGUGCGCUGUAAACGCAUUGGCUCAGCCUUCGCAGGUUCGAAUCCUGCUCCCGCCA